UGCCAGCCGCCGCGGUAAUACGGAGGGUGCAAGCGUUGUUCGGAAUUAUUGGGCGUAAAGCGCGUGUAGGCGGUUCGUUAAGUCUGAUGUGAAAGCCCGGGGCUCAACCCCGGAAGUGCAUUGGAAACUGGCGAACUUGAGUACGGGAGAGGAAAAUGGAAUUCUUAGUGUAGCGGUGAAAUGCGUAGAUAUUAAGAAGAACACCAGCGGCGAAAGCGAUCUACUGGACGAAUACUGACGCUGAGGCACGAAAGCCAGGGGAGCGAAGAGGAUUAGAUA
RNAcentral lists this ribosomal RNA (279 nucleotides) under uncultured bacterium. RNAcentral's name for it is "partial 16S ribosomal RNA". It matches the Rfam family "Bacterial small subunit ribosomal RNA", at positions 506 to 784 of the family's 1533-position model. The record is from RNAcentral.